AGUCACUGACAUUAGAUACCCCUGUAGUCCCAGGGGUGUAAACGCUGCAGACUUGGUGUUGGAGGCCCUUUGGGGGCAUUCAGUGCCGGAGAGAAGUUGUUAAGUCUGCUACUUGGGGAGUACGUCCGCAAGGAUGAAACUUAAAGGAAUUGGCGGGGGAGCACCGCAACGGGAGGAGCGUGCGGUUUAAUUGGAUUCAACACCGUAAACUCACCAGGGAAGACUGUUACAUGAAGGCCGAGAUGAAGACUCUGCUAGAUUUUCAG
This 266-nucleotide ribosomal RNA is filed under the name uncultured archaeon. RNAcentral describes it as "partial 16S ribosomal RNA". It matches the Rfam family "Archaeal small subunit ribosomal RNA", at positions 718 to 982 of the family's 1478-position model. The record is from RNAcentral.